AGAACGAACGCUGGCGGCAUGCCUAACACAUGCAAGUCGAACGAGACCUUCGGGUCUAGUGGCGCACGGGUGCGUAACGCGUGGGAAUCUGCCCUUGGGUACGGAAUAACAGUUAGAAAUGACUGCUAAUACCGUAUAAUGACUUCGGUCCAAAGAUUUAUCGCCCAGGGAUGAGCCCGCGUAGGAUUAGCUUGUUGGUGAGGUAAAAGCUCACCAAGGCGACGAUCCUUAGCUGGUCUGAGAGGAUGAUCAGCCACACUGGGACUGAGACACGGCCCAGACUCCUACGGGAGGCAGCAGUGGGGAAUAUUGGACAAUGGGCGAAAGCCUGAUCCAGCAAUGCCGCGUGAGUGAUGAAGGCCUUAGGUUGUAAAGCUCCUUUGCCCGGGAUGAUAAUGACAGUACCGGAGAAUAAGCUCCGGCUAACUCCGUGCCAGCAGCCGC
This 444-nucleotide ribosomal RNA is filed under the name uncultured soil bacterium. RNAcentral's name for it is "bacterial SSU rRNA". It matches the Rfam family "Bacterial small subunit ribosomal RNA", at positions 26 to 518 of the family's 1533-position model. The record is from RNAcentral.